ACGAACGCUGGCGGCGUGCUUCACACCUGCCAGUCGCACGGAAAGGCCUUUUCGGAGGUACUCGAGUGGCGAACGGGUGAGUAACACGUGGGUGAUCUGCCCUGCACUCUGGGAUAAGCCUGGGAAACUGGGUCUAAUACCGGAUAGGACCGCACUUUAGUGUGUGUGGUGGAAAGUUUUUUCGGUGUAGGAUGAGCCCGCGGCCUAUCAGCUUGUUGGUGGGGUAAUGGCCUACCAAGGCGGCGACGGGUAGCCGGACUGAGAGGUUGGUCGGCCACAUUGGGACUGAGAUACGGCCCAGACUCCUACGGGAGGCAGCAGUGGGGAAUAUUGCACAAUGGGCGCAAGCCUGAUGCAGCGACGCCGCGUGGGGGAUGACGGCCUUCGGGUUGUAAACUCCUUUCGCCAGGGACGAAGCGUUUUGUGACGGUACCUGGAGAAGAAGCACCGGCUAACUACGUG
This 462-nucleotide ribosomal RNA is filed under the name uncultured bacterium. Its description in RNAcentral is "partial 16S ribosomal RNA". It matches the Rfam family "Bacterial small subunit ribosomal RNA", at positions 29 to 507 of the family's 1533-position model. The record is from RNAcentral.